This 76-nucleotide transfer RNA is filed under the name Clostridioides difficile. RNAcentral's name for it is "tRNA-Val". It matches the Rfam family "tRNA". From Rfam's summary of the family: Transfer RNA (tRNA) molecules are approximately 80 nucleotides in length. Their secondary structure includes four short double-helical elements and three loops (D, anti-codon, and T loops). Further hydrogen bonds mediate the characteristic L-shaped molecular structure. tRNAs have two regions of fundamental functional importance: the anti-codon, which is responsible for specific mRNA codon recognition, and the 3' end, to which the tRNAs corresponding amino acid is attached (by aminoacyl-tRNA synthetases). tRNAs cope with the degeneracy of the genetic code in two manners: having more than one tRNA (with a specific anti-codon) for a particular amino acid; and 'wobble' base-pairing, i.e. permitting non-standard base-pairing at the 3rd anti-codon position. RNAcentral also lists the same sequence under 38 other names. The record is from RNAcentral. Lineage: Bacteria; Bacillati; Bacillota; Clostridia; Peptostreptococcales; Peptostreptococcaceae.
GGAAGCAUAGCUCAGCUGGGAGAGCAUCUGCCUUACAAGCAGAGGGUCACAGGUUCGAUCCCUGUUGUUUCCACCA